AACGAACGCUGGCGGCAGGCCUAACACAUGCAAGUCGAGCGAGGACUUCGGUCCUAGCGGCGGACGGGUGAGUAACGCGUGGGAACGUGCCCUUUGCUUCGGAAUAGCCCUGGGAAACUGGGAGUAAUACCGGAUGAGCCCUUUGGGGGAAAGAUUUAUCGGCGAAGGAUCGGCCCGCGUUGGAUUAGGUAGUUGGUGGGGUAAUGGCCUACCAAGCCGACGAUCGAUAGCUGGUGUGAGAGGAUGAUCAGCCACACUGGGACUGAGACACGGCCCAGACUCCUACGGGAGGCAGGAGUGGGGAAUCUUAGACAAUGGGGGAAACACUGAUCUAGCCAUGCCGCGUGAGCGAUGCAGGCCUUAGGGUUGUAAAGCUCUUUCAGCUGGGAAGAUAAUGACGGUACCAGCAGAAGAAGCCCCGGCUAACUCCGUG
Molecule: ribosomal RNA, 433 nt
Filed under: uncultured bacterium
Lineage: Bacteria
Description: partial 16S ribosomal RNA
Rfam family: Bacterial small subunit ribosomal RNA
Source: RNAcentral